This is a long non-coding RNA of Triticum urartu, 1975 nucleotides long. RefSeq lists it as uncharacterized. Lineage: Eukaryota; Viridiplantae; Streptophyta; Magnoliopsida; Poales; Poaceae. The record is from RefSeq and is a predicted model, not a curated record.
GGGCGGCCCAUCGGAUGUAUUUAAUGCAACCCACGGGUUCUUGCCUGUCUGUUCCCCAUUCGAUCCCCAAAUCGAGAGACGAAACCCUAGCCGCGCCGCACAACUUCCUUUACCAUAUCCCAAAUCGAAGCAGAUAUAACCGUAGCUUGCAAAGAUGGCAGAUCCAGGUGUUGACCAAGGUGCUCUGUCAGUCGUGCCUUGUCCGGAUUGCGGGAGGAACGUGGUGACAUACGUAGCGUAGCGCGGGCAGAAUGCCAGCCAGCGUUUCGACAAGUGCCGGAAUCACAAUCCGUCAGGGGGUGGAUGUGAUUUCUACAGGUGGGAGGAGGCCUACGCGGCCCAUGUCGCCACUCUUGGUCUUGGAGGAGCAACUCCUGUAGUUGGCCAAGUCGGGCCAGGUCAGAUGCAGGGCGGGCAGGCGGCUGGAGUUAGUAACUUUUGUUUGAUACCAAUGUCAGGGAGGUGCUGAUCUGCGUCCUCCAGUGUCAGGGAGGUGUUGAUCUGCGUUCUCCAAUGUCAGGGAGAUGAUCAACAGCAGGUAGGCUUUUUUGUGACAUCUGUGACAGUGACAUACUUCCGGCUCCGUAAAUGGUAAGGUGUCCGUGGGUACCGGGGUGAUAUCAGCAUAGCUGCAGCCAUAAAAACAGUGUGGACAGAAUGCUUAGAUAUAGUUUGAAACUUUAGGAGAGGUGCUAGAAAUAAAACACAGCUUGCAUGAGAUUGCUAACCCGCGUGUGCAGAAUCAUCGUCAGAAGGCAUGUUAGUGAAACAGAGAGCACAAGGCGCAAGGGGCAGGUGGCAUUUAUUGCAAUCAGGUUUUGCGCGGCUCCAGGAAGGGUAGGUGCUGGCAGCUUAGCUUCAGGAGUUUCCUCAACAUACUGAAGUUGUUGAUCCUUUGCUGGAAUGAUAUUCAGAGCACAUGAUCAUAGUGGUGUUUCUUUCAUUUUUAAAAAAAAUCAUGAGACGAUGUGAGUGGUGAUGAGUUGUUAAGUACAUGUUUGAGAGACUAUUCUAGCAAGCUGGAGAAGAGUGUGUGCGCAUGCAUUUGCAAGUGGUGAUUCUGGAGGAAGCUGUGUCUGCAGGGAUGUAUCAACAAGCGUGGAGGUUAAAUAUUGAGCAUGUGUGUACAAGUGCCAAUGGCAAUCAAAUGGAAACCAACAUGACUCAGGUGUUAUGAAUCUUGGUGUGGAAUCUGGGGCUCCAGUGCAGUUCUCUUUUCCUCUGCGUGCUUCUGCUAAUGCUUCUUCAUGACUCUGGGUUGAAGGUGCGCGACUCUGCUCUGCUGGCCUACCUGUAAAAAGCGAGGAGGGCGGACACAAGCAGUUAGUAACUUUUGUUUGAUACCAAUGUAUUCAAGUCAAAAGUGAGUUUUCGAUGGGAACGAACAUUGGGUAACAACAAGUGCUGUCUUGGCGCUGACCAAGGGGCUUGGAGCUAGAUGCACAUGUUGAUUGUCAAGCGAGCAUUUUCUGCCUCGGCAAUCCUGUUUGUGAACUCCUUGUACAUAACAGUAGCAGCUGCAUCUAGAUUGCCACAAAUCUGAUUAACAAGAGCUUUGCACCUCUCUUGGUGUUCAGGCGAUAACACUUUGCCAGGGGCACGUGAUUAUCAGCAAAAUGCAGCACAGCGGAUCGGAUCCGAUUGCAGACGUCGGAGGUAAUAUAUUGAUAAGCAGUAGUCUUCACUUUUUGAAUUGGAAUCAUGGAUCCUUGGAGUAGAAUUGGAUGAAUAUACCAUCGACCUUCAUGCAUUGCCCGCAGUGAUCUUGUCUUUUUUUACGUGCAGUAGGAAUUUUAGUUAGUUUUUUUUACAAUGUAAGCAUUGGGUAAUGUAGAAAUGACAUGAAACAGGGGAGGCACUUAUUUUGUUUCUGUUUGAGUGUCAUGUUUCAGUUUUUGUUAUACAUGUAUUCACACCUAGAUGGGGAUAUGUGCUAGUGAAGUGAAAUAAUUACUUAAAGAGCAGCCACAAACUA